Molecule: signal recognition particle RNA, 299 nt
Filed under: Cebus imitator (Panamanian white-faced capuchin)
Lineage: Eukaryota; Metazoa; Chordata; Mammalia; Primates; Cebidae
Description: Metazoan signal recognition particle RNA (ENSCCAG00000003916.1)
Rfam family: Metazoan signal recognition particle RNA
About the family: The signal recognition particle (SRP) is a universally conserved ribonucleoprotein. It is involved in the co-translational targeting of proteins to membranes. The eukaryotic SRP consists of a 300-nucleotide 7S RNA and six proteins: SRPs 72, 68, 54, 19, 14, and 9.
Source: RNAcentral
GCCGUGCACAGUCGCAUGUACCUGUAGUUCCAGUUACUCGGGAGGCUGAGGCUAGAGGAUCGCUUGAGUCCAGGAGUUCUGGGCUGUAGUGCGCUAUGCUGGUCGGGUGUCCGCACUAAGCUCAACAUCAAUAUGGUGACCUCCCAGGAGGGGGGGACCACCAGGUUGCCUAAGGAGGGGUGAACCGGCCCAGGUCGGAAACGGAACAGGUCAAAACUCCCUUGCUGAUCAGUAGUGGGAUCAUACCUGUGAAUAGCCACUGCACUCCAGCCUGGGCAACAUAGUGAGACCCUGUCUUU